CAAGGGGGGGGGGCUACCAUGCAGUCGAGCGGCAGCGGGGGGAAGCUUGCUUCCCCGCCGGCGAGCGGCGGACGGGUGAGUAAUGUCUGGGAAACUGCCUGAUGGAGGGGGAUAACUACUGGAAACGGUAGCUAAUACCGCAUAACGUCGCAAGACCAAAGAGGGGGACCUUCGGGCCUCUUGCCAUCGGAUGUGCCCAGAUGGGAUUAGCUAGUAGGUGAGGUAAAGGCUCACCUAGGCGACGAUCCCUAGCUGGUCUGAGAGGAUGACCAGCCACACUGGAACUGAGACACGGUCCAGACUCCUACGGGAGGCAGCAGUGGGGAAUAUUGCACAAUGGGCGCAAGCCUGAUGCAGCCAUGCCGCGUGUGUGAAGAAGGCCUUCGGGUUGUAAAGCACUUUCAGCGGGGAGGAAGGGAGCAGACUUAAUACGUCUGUUCAUUGACGUUACCCGCAGAAGAAGCACCGGCUAACUCCGUGCCAGCAGCCGCGGUAAUACGGAGGGUGCAAGCGUUAAUCGGAAUGACUGGGCGUAAAGCGCACGCAGGCGGUCUGUUAAGUUGGAUGUGAAAUCCCCGGGCUUAACCUGGGAACUGCAUUCAAAACUGACAGGCUAGAGUCUCGUAGAGGGGGGUAGAAUUCCAGGUGUAGCGGUGAAAUGCGUAGAGAUCUGGAGGAAUACCGGUGGCGAAGGCGGCCCCCUGGACGAAGACUGACGCUCAGGUGCGAAAGCGUGGGGAGCAAACAGGAUUAGAUACCCUGGUAGUCCACGCUGUAAACGAUGUCGAUUUGGAGGUUGUGCCCUUGAGGCGUGGCUUCCGGAGCUAACGCGUUAAAUCGACCGCCUGGGGAGUACGGCCGCAAGGUUAAAACUCAAAUGAAUUGACGGGGGCCCGCACAAGCGGUGGAGCAUGUGGUUUAAUUCGAUGCAACGCGAAGAACCUUACCUACUCUUGACAUCCAGAGAAGCCUGCAGAGAUGCGGGUGUGCCUUCGGGAGCUCUGAGACAGGUGCUGCAUGGCUGUCGUCAGCUCGUGUUGUGAAAUGUUGGGUUAAGUCCCGCAACGAGCGCAACCCUUAUCCUUUGUUGCCAGCACUUCGGGUGGGAACUCAAGGGAGACUGCCGGUGAUAAACCGGAGGAAGGUGGGGAUGACGUCAAGUCAUCAUGGCCCUUACGAGUAGGGCUACACACGUGCUACAAUGGCGUAUACAAAGAGAAGCGACCUCGCGAGAGCAAGCGGACCUCAUAAAGUACGUCGUAGUCCGGAUUGGAGUCUGCAACUCGACUCCAUGAAGUCGGAAUCGCUAGUAAUCGUAGAUCAGAAUGCUACGGUGAAUACGUUCCCGGGCCUUGUACACACCGCCCGUCACACCAUGGGAGUGGGUUGCAAAAGAAGUAGGUAGCUUAACCUUCGGGAGGGCGCUUACCACUUGGAUGCAGUG
This 1444-nucleotide ribosomal RNA is filed under the name Dickeya chrysanthemi. RNAcentral's name for it is "bacterial SSU rRNA". It matches the Rfam family "Bacterial small subunit ribosomal RNA". The record is from RNAcentral. Lineage: Bacteria; Pseudomonadati; Pseudomonadota; Gammaproteobacteria; Enterobacterales; Pectobacteriaceae.